UACGUAGGGUGCAAGCGUUGUCCGGAAUUAUUGGGCGUAAAGAGCUCGUAGGCGGUUAGUCGCGUCUGCUGUGAAAACUCGGGGCUUAACUCCGGGCCUGCAGUGGGUACGGGCUGACUAGAGUAUGGUAGGGGAGACUGGAAUUCCUGGUGUAGCGGUGAAAUGCGCAGAUAUCAGGAGGAACACCGGUGGCGAAGGCGGGUCUCUGGGCCGUAACUGACGCUGAGGAGCGAAAGCGUGGGGAGCGAACAGG
RNAcentral lists this ribosomal RNA (253 nucleotides) under uncultured bacterium. Its description in RNAcentral is "partial 16S ribosomal RNA". It matches the Rfam family "Bacterial small subunit ribosomal RNA", at positions 524 to 776 of the family's 1533-position model. The record is from RNAcentral.